RNAcentral lists this transfer-messenger RNA (357 nucleotides) under Desulfuromonadales. RNAcentral describes it as "JAAYDE01 sp012729375 Standard tmRNA". It matches the Rfam family "transfer-messenger RNA". From Rfam's summary of the family: Bacterial tmRNA, also known as 10Sa RNA or SsrA, is named for its dual tRNA and mRNA-like properties. Its role is to liberate the mRNA from a stalled ribosome. Lineage: Bacteria; Pseudomonadati; Thermodesulfobacteriota; Desulfuromonadia. RNAcentral also lists the same sequence under 1 other name. The record is from RNAcentral.
GGGGGUGACAAGGUUUCGACGGGGGUCGGAAGCACAGGUUGCAUGUCGGGGAGGCCGGUUGGCCCCGUUAUCAAUCCGGUAAACAAUAAACGCCGACAACGACGUUUCUUACGCACUGGCCGCUUAAAUAGCGGUCGCAUCUCCCGAUCCCCCGCCCGCGGGGGUCCUGAGAUGUCAUUCAGCGGGCUGGUCCGGUCAUUCAUUCCGUGGUGUCCGGAUAAGAUCUAAGCGGAAUCGCCUCUGAAAAAUCCUGUCCCCGGGAGUUUUCAGAGGUUAAAUGCAAAACAGGGAAUAAACAUGUAGACACCUGAUGUGGAACACUUUCGGACGCGGGUUCGAUUCCCGCCACCUCCACCA